Molecule: ribosomal RNA, 254 nt
Filed under: uncultured bacterium
Lineage: Bacteria
Description: partial 16S ribosomal RNA
Rfam family: Bacterial small subunit ribosomal RNA
Source: RNAcentral
UACGUAGGGUGCGAGCGUUGUCCGGAAUUAUUGGGCGUAAAGAGCUCGUAGGCGGUGUGUCGCGUCGGCCGUGAAAACCUGCAGCUUAACUGUGGGCUUGCGGUCGAUACGGGCAUCACUGGAGUUCGGCAGGGGAGACUGGAAUUCCUGGUGUAGCGGUGAAAUGCGCAGAUAUCAGGAGGAACACCGGUGGCGAAGGCGGGUCUCUGGGCCGAUACUGACGCUGAGGAGCGAAAGCCAGGGGAGCAAACGGG